CCUACGGGAGGCAGCAGUAGGGAAUCUUCCACAAUGGGCGAAAGCCUGAUGGAGCAACGCCGCGUGGGUGAAGAAGGUCUUCGGAUCGUAAAACCCUGUUGUUAGAGAAGAAAGUUCGUGAGAGUAACUGUUCACGUUUCGACGUUAUCUAACCAGACAGCCACGGCUAACUACGUGCCAGCAGCCGCGGUAAUACGUAGGUGGCAAGCGUUAUCCGGAUUGAUUGGGCGUAAAGGGGACGCAGGCGGUCUUUUAAGUCUGAUGUGAAAGCCUUCGGCUUAACCGGAGUAGUGCAUUGGAAACUGGGAGACUUGAGUGCAGAAGAGGAGGGUGGAACUCCAGGUGUAGCGGUGAAAUGCGUAGAUAUAUGGAAGAACACCAGUGGCGAAGGCGGCUCUCUGGUCUGUAACUGACGCUGAGGUUCGAAAGCGUGGGUAGCAAACAGGAUUAGAUACCCCUGUAGUC
This 465-nucleotide ribosomal RNA is filed under the name uncultured bacterium. RNAcentral describes it as "partial 16S ribosomal RNA". It matches the Rfam family "Bacterial small subunit ribosomal RNA", at positions 338 to 795 of the family's 1533-position model. The record is from RNAcentral.